RNAcentral lists this ribosomal RNA (371 nucleotides) under uncultured bacterium. RNAcentral describes it as "bacterial SSU rRNA". It matches the Rfam family "Bacterial small subunit ribosomal RNA", at positions 527 to 896 of the family's 1533-position model. The record is from RNAcentral.
GUAGGGGGCAAGCGUUGUCCGGAAUCAUUGGGCGUAAAGCGCGUGUAGGCGGUUCGGCAAGUCUGCUGUGAAAGUCCAGGGCUCAACCCUGGAAUGCCGGUGGAAACUGUCGGGCUAGAGUCCGGAAGAGGCGAGUGGAAUUCCUGGUGUAGCGGUGAAAUGCGCAGAUAUCAGGAGGAACACCAAUGGCGAAGGCAGCUCGCUGGGACGUGACUGACGCUGAGACGCGAAAGCGUGGGGAGCAAACAGGAUUAGAUACCCUGGUAGUCCACGCCGUAAACGAUGGGCACUAGGUGUGGGAGGUGUCGACUCCUCCCGUGCCGGCGCUAACGCAUUAAGUGCCCCGCCUGGGGAGUACGGCCGCAAGGCUA